CGUAGGUGAACCUGCGGAAGGAUCAUUAUUGAAUGAAACACUUCUGGCUUUCUGCUGUUGUGCUGGCCCUUUGGGCAAUGUGCACACGGCUCUGGUCACUUGUUUCUUCUGUUCCACCUGUGCACUGCCUGUAGACACGCUGUGUCUAUGAUAUUUGUUAACACACAACAAUGUUAGUUGGCAUGUUAUAUAUAAUAAUAAAAUAUACAACUUUCAACAACGGAUCUCUUGGCUCUC
Molecule: unclassified non-coding RNA, 237 nt
Filed under: plant metagenome
Description: partial contains small subunit ribosomal RNA, internal transcribed spacer 1, and 5.8S ribosomal RNA
Source: RNAcentral